CGGGUGAGUAAUGUAUAGGAACUUGCCUAGUAGUGGGGGACAACGUGUGGGAACGCACGCUAAUACCGCAUACGCUCUACGGAGGAAAGCGGGGGAUCUUCGGACCUCGUGCUACUAGAUGGGCCUAUAUUGGAUUAGCUAGUUGGUAGGGUAAAGGCCUGCCAAGGCGACGAUCCAUAGCUGGUUUGAGAGAAUGAUCAGCCACACUGGGACUGAGACACGGCCCAG
This 228-nucleotide ribosomal RNA is filed under the name uncultured bacterium. Its description in RNAcentral is "partial 16S ribosomal RNA". It matches the Rfam family "Bacterial small subunit ribosomal RNA", at positions 103 to 334 of the family's 1533-position model. The record is from RNAcentral.